Non-coding RNA from Xyrichtys novacula (pearly razorfish), 199 nucleotides. The record is from the annotation of a GenBank genome assembly. Lineage: Eukaryota; Metazoa; Chordata; Actinopteri; Labriformes; Labridae.
GGAGGAGGAGAGGGUGAAGGAAACAUCUGCGGGGGGUGGAGGGGGGUCAGGAUCCAGUCGACAGAAAUAAACUGAACUGACCGAUUACAGUCAAUACAGAACUGCUAGACUAACCUGUACCCCCCCGCCUCACCCUCUCUCUCCCUCCGUCUCAAUCCCCCUCCACUCUCUCACCCCCCCUCAUCUCUCUCUUCCUCUC